AGCGUAGGCGGUUUUUUAAGUGGGGUGUGAAAUCCCUGGGCUUAACCCAGGAAUUGCAUUCCAAACUGGAAGACUAGAGUGCAGGAGAGGAAAGUGGAAUUCCAAGUGUAGCGGUGAAAUGCGUAGAGAUUUGGAGGAACACCAGUGGCGAAGGCGACUUUCUGGACUGUAACUGACGCUGAGGCUCGAGAGCGUGGGGAGCAAACAGGAUUAGAUACCCUGGUAGUCCACGCUGUAAACGAUGAAUACUAGGUGUUGGGGGCGAAGCCCUCAGUGCCGCAGUUAACACAUUAAGUAUUCCGCCUGGGGAGUACGAUCGCAAGAUUAAA
RNAcentral lists this ribosomal RNA (329 nucleotides) under uncultured bacterium. RNAcentral's name for it is "bacterial SSU rRNA". It matches the Rfam family "Bacterial small subunit ribosomal RNA", at positions 568 to 898 of the family's 1533-position model. The record is from RNAcentral.